GACAGAGGGUGCAAACGUUGUUCGGAAUUACUGGGCGUAAAGCGCGUGUAGGCGGCUAUGCAAGUCGGAUGUGAAAGCCCUCGGCUCAACCGGGGAAGUGCACCCGAAACUGCAAAGCUAGAGUCUCGGAGAGGAUCGUGGAAUUCUCGGUGUAGAGGUGAAAUUCGUAGAUAUCGGGAGGAACACCGGUGGCGAAGGCGGCGCUCUGGACGGUGACUGACGCUGAGACGCGAAAGCGUGGGGAGCAAACAGG
This 253-nucleotide ribosomal RNA is filed under the name uncultured bacterium. Its description in RNAcentral is "partial 16S ribosomal RNA". It matches the Rfam family "Bacterial small subunit ribosomal RNA", at positions 524 to 776 of the family's 1533-position model. The record is from RNAcentral.